RNAcentral lists this ribosomal RNA (495 nucleotides) under uncultured bacterium. RNAcentral's name for it is "bacterial SSU rRNA". It matches the Rfam family "Bacterial small subunit ribosomal RNA", at positions 28 to 521 of the family's 1533-position model. The record is from RNAcentral.
GAUUAACGCUGGCGGCAUGCCUAAUACAUGCAAGUCGAACGGAAGCAGCAAUGCUUUAGUGGCGAACGGGUGAGUAACACGUAGGGAACCUACCUAUACGACGAGGAUAACUACUGGAAACGGUAGCUAAAACUGGAUAGGAUCAAUUGAGGCAUCUUGAUUGAUUUAAAGAUCCUUCGGGAUUACGUAGAGAUGGCCCUGCGGCGCAUUAGCUAGUUGGUGAGGUAACGGCCACCAAGGCGACGAUGCGUAGCUGAGCUGAGAGGCUAAACAGCCACACUGGGACUGAGACACGGCCCAGACUCCUACGGGAGGCAGCAGUAGGGAAUUUUCGGCAAUGGGGGAAACCCUGACCGAGCAAUGCCGCGUGAACGAUGAAGGUCUUCGGAUUGUAAAGUUCUGUGAUUGGGGAAGAAUGGUAUUCUUAGGGAAUGAGGAGUACAUGACGGUACCCGAUUAGAAAGCCCCGGCUAACUAUGUGCCAGCAGCCGCGGU